CACCUCUCAGGGUCGCAUCUGGAGAGUUUCCUGUCCUCUACCAGUAUCGACUACGGGAGGGAGAGUCCAACAGAGGCCCGUCCAUUCCACUCCUAGCUUGGCCAGUGGCUAGCGACUGGAAGACCAUCGGCUACAAGU
This is a small nucleolar RNA of Ornithorhynchus anatinus (platypus), 138 nucleotides long. Lineage: Eukaryota; Metazoa; Chordata; Mammalia; Monotremata; Ornithorhynchidae. The record is from RefSeq and is a predicted model, not a curated record.